This 253-nucleotide ribosomal RNA is filed under the name uncultured bacterium. RNAcentral describes it as "partial 16S ribosomal RNA". It matches the Rfam family "Bacterial small subunit ribosomal RNA", at positions 524 to 776 of the family's 1533-position model. The record is from RNAcentral.
UACGUAGGGGGCAAGCGUUGUCCGGAUUUAUUGGGCGUAAAGAGCGUGUAGGCGGCCGUACAGGUCAGCUGUGAAAACUCGAGGCUCAACCUCGAGACGUCGGUUGAAACCGUACGGCUAGAGUCCGGAAGAGGAGAGUGGAAUUCCCGGUGUAGCGGUGAAAUGCGCAGAUAUCGGGGAGAACACCCGUGGCGAAGGCGGCUCUCUGGGACGGUACUGACGCUGAGACGCGAAAGCGUGGGGAGCGAACAGG